AGUGAACGCUGGCGGUAGGCCUAACACAUGCAAGUCGAACGGCAGCACAGUAAGAGCUUGCUCUUACGGGUGGCGAGUGGCGGACGGGUGAGGAAUACAUCGGAAUCUACUUUUUCGUGGGGGAUAACGUAGGGAAACUUACGCUAAUACCGCAUACGACCUACGGGUGAAAGCAGGGGAUCUUCGGACCUUGCGCGAUUGAAUGAGCCGAUGUCGGAUUAGCUAGUUGGCGGGGUAAAGGCCCACCAAGGCGACGAUCCGUAGCUGGUCUGAGAGGAUGAUCAGCCACACUGGAACUGAGACACGGUCCAGACUCCUACGGGAGGCAGCAGUGGGGAAUAUUGGACAAUGGGCGCAAGCCUGAUCCAGCCAUACCGCGUGGGUGAAGAAGGCCUUCGGGUUGUAAAGCCCUCUUGUUGGGAAGGAAAAGCAGCAGGUUAAUACCCCGCUGUUCUGACGGUACCCAAAGAAUAAGCACCGGCUAACUUCGUG
Molecule: ribosomal RNA, 492 nt
Filed under: uncultured bacterium
Lineage: Bacteria
Description: partial 16S ribosomal RNA
Rfam family: Bacterial small subunit ribosomal RNA
Source: RNAcentral